GUGCACCAGGCGCGAAAACUUCACACUGUGCGAAAGCACGAUGAGGGAAUCCCAAGUGCUUGCACGUAAGUGUAAGCUGUUUCUCUGUUUAAAACGCAGAGAGAGUAAGGGCUGGGUAAGACGGGUGCCAGCCGCCGCGGUAAUACCUGCAGCUCAAGUGGUGACCGUUAUUAUUGGGCCUAAAACGUCCGUAGCCGGUUUAAUAAAUGCCUGGGUAAAUCGUGUAGCUUAACUAUACGAAUUCCGGGUAGACUGUUAAACUCGAGACCGGGAGAAGUUAGAGGUACUCCUGGGGUAGAGGUGAAAUUCUGCAAUCCUAGGGGGACCACCAGUGGCGAAGGCGUCUAACUAGAACGGGGUCUGACGGUAGUAGGGACGGGAACGACCGUCCGGGGUCGGGGCCGAAACCGGGAAACGGGUUAAGUAAGUAACCCGUACCCGGUACGGUUACCCG
RNAcentral lists this ribosomal RNA (454 nucleotides) under uncultured microorganism. RNAcentral's name for it is "bacterial SSU rRNA". It matches the Rfam family "Archaeal small subunit ribosomal RNA", at positions 330 to 783 of the family's 1478-position model. The record is from RNAcentral.